GGCAUUCAUCAUGCAUGAAUUGUAAAUGUUGAUCCAGAAAGCCAGCUUUUCUUGGUGGCUAAGGCCCUGUAAGUUCGCUGAUGCAAGUUUCUCAAGCAGAAGUUUCAGUCGACGAACUAGGAAUACAGAUAUUGUUGUUCGAUUUGGGUUGACAGAAGAAGCUUCAACUGCAUAUAAAUGCUUAUAUGGACCGAUAUCUCUCCUUUCAAACUUUGAACAUAUUCCAUAAGGAUCUCCAAACUCUUUUUUCUCAAUGCUCUCGCAUGAAUUAUAUCCUGUCAAUGAAGGCAAUGUAUCUGCUGUAGUCCUGCCCUUCCUAGAGCUCAUUCUGAGAAAAAUAUUUGACAAGCAUUUCAAAAUAUUUUCCGAGAUUGUGUUUGGACUUUCAUCUGGUGAUGGUUUUCUAUCUUGAGUAACAAAAAUU
Molecule: unclassified non-coding RNA, 424 nt
Filed under: Hevea brasiliensis (rubber tree)
Lineage: Eukaryota; Viridiplantae; Streptophyta; Magnoliopsida; Malpighiales; Euphorbiaceae
Source: RNAcentral